CCUACGGGCGGCAGCAGUGAGGAAUAUUGGUCAAUGGACGAGAGUCUGAACCAGCCAAGUAGCGUGAAGGAUGACUGCCCUAUGGGUUGUAAACUUCUUUUAUAUGGGAAUAAAACGUUCCACGUGUGGGAUUUUGUAUGUACCAUAUGAAUAAGGAUCGGCUAACUCCGUGCCAGCAGCCGCGGUAAUACGGAGGAUCCGAGCGUUAUCCGGAUUUAUUGGGUUUAAAGGGAGCGUAGGUGGAUUGUUAAGGCAGUUGUGAAAGUUUGGGGCUCAACCGUAAAAUUGCAGUUGAAACUGGCAGUCUUGAGUGCAGUAGAGGUGGGCGGAAUUCGUGGUGUAGCGGUGAAAUGCUUAGAUAUCACGAAGAACUCCGAUUGCGAAGGCAGUUCACUGGACUGCAACUGACACUGAGGCUCGAAAGUGUGGGUAUCAAACAGGAUUAGAUACCCUGGUAGUC
Molecule: ribosomal RNA, 460 nt
Filed under: uncultured bacterium
Lineage: Bacteria
Description: partial 16S ribosomal RNA
Rfam family: Bacterial small subunit ribosomal RNA
Source: RNAcentral